Molecule: unclassified non-coding RNA, 341 nt
Filed under: soil metagenome
Description: partial contains 5.8S ribosomal RNA, internal transcribed spacer 2, and large subunit ribosomal RNA
Rfam family: 5.8S ribosomal RNA (bases 1-120)
Source: RNAcentral
GAUGAAGAACGUAGCGAAAUGCGAUAAGUAAUGUGAAUUGCAGAAUUCAGUGAAUCAUCGAAUCUUUGAACGCACAUUGCGCCCGCCAGCAUUCUGGCGGGCAUGCCUGUUCGAGCGUCAUUUCAACCCUCGAGCCCCCCCGGGGGCCUCGGUGUUGGGGGACGGCACACCAGCCGCCCCCGAAAUGCAGUGGCGACCUCGCCGCAGCCUCCCCUGCGUAGUAGCACACACCUCGCACCGGAGCGCGGAGACGGUCACGCCGUAAAACGCCCAACUUCUUAGAGUUGACCUCGGAUCAGGUAGGAAUACCCGCUGAACUUAAGCAUAUCAAUAAGCGAGGA